Molecule: ribosomal RNA, 613 nt
Filed under: uncultured bacterium
Lineage: Bacteria
Description: bacterial SSU rRNA
Rfam family: Bacterial small subunit ribosomal RNA
Source: RNAcentral
CGCUGGCGGCAGGCCUAACACAUGCAAGUCGAGCGGAAACGAGUUAUCUGAACCUUCGGGGAACGAUAACGGCGUCGAGCGGCGGACGGGUGAGUAAUGCCUAGGAAAUUGCCCUGGUGUGGGGGAUAACCAUUGGAAACGAUGGCUAAUACCGCAUAAUACCUUCGGGUCAAAGAGGGGGACCUUCGGGCCUCUCGCGUCAGGAUAUGCCUAGGUGGGAUUAGCUAGUUGGUGAGGUAAUGGCUCACCAAGGCGACGAUCCCUAGCUGGUCUGAGAGGAUGAUCAGCCACACUGGAACUGAGACACGGUCCAGACUCCUACGGGAGGCAGCAGUGGGGAAUAUUGCACAAUGGGCGCAAGCCUGAUGCAGCCAUGCCGCGUGUGUGAAGAAGGCCUUCGGGUUGUAAAGCACUUUCAGUCGUGAGGAAGGUAGUGUAGUUAAUAGCUGCAUUAUUUGACGUUAGCGACAGAAGAAGCACCGGCUAACUCCGUGCCAGCAGCCGCGGUAAUACGGAGGGUGCGAGCGUUAAUCGGAAUUACUGGGCGUAAAGCGCAUGCAGGUGGUUUGUUAAGUCAGAUGUGAAAGCCCGGGGCUCAACCUCGGAAUAGCAU